CCUACGGGAGGCAGCAGUGGGGAAUCUUGCGCAAUGGGCGAAAGCCUGACGCAGCCAUGCCGCGUGAAUGAUGAAGGUCUUAGGAUUGUAAAAUUCUUUCACCGGGGACGAUAAUGACGGUACCCGGAGAAGAAGCCCCGGCUAACUUCGUGCCAGCAGCCGCGGUAAUACGAAGGGGGCUAGCGUUGCUCGGAAUUACUGGGCGUAAAGGGAGCGUAGGCGGAUAGUUUAGUCAGAGGUGAAAGCCCAGGGCUCAACCUUGGAAUUGCCCUUGAUACUGGCUAUCUUGAGUACGGAAGAGGUAUGUGGAACUCCGAGUGUAGAGGUGAAAUUCGUAGAUAUUCGGAAGAACACCAGUGGCGAAGGCGACAUACUGGUCCGUUACUGACGCUGAGGCUCGAAAGCGUGGGGAGCAAACAGGAUUAGAUACCCUGGUAGUCCACGCUGUAAACGAUGAGUGCUAGUUGUCGGCAUGCAUGCAUGUCGGUGACGCAGCUAACGCAUUAAGCNCNCCGCGNGGAGUACGGUCGCAGAAUUAAACGUAAGAAGUAGUAGACGNGAGAGACGCGACGACGACGACGAGGAGGAGG
RNAcentral lists this ribosomal RNA (590 nucleotides) under uncultured bacterium. RNAcentral's name for it is "bacterial SSU rRNA". It matches the Rfam family "Bacterial small subunit ribosomal RNA", at positions 338 to 944 of the family's 1533-position model. The record is from RNAcentral.